CCAACGUGGUCAUCCAGCAAGGUUGCUCUUGUCUGGCUCUGUCCAUGUGGCAUAUGGGAGUGUAGACAUUCUGUCUGUGACACACAGUCCCGUUCCACAACGUUGGAGAGAAAGCAUGUCCCCGGCUUUCAGCUGGUGAGGACAGCAUCCUGUAUAUUCCUAGACCUUUGCAAUCUGAACAGUGACUGUGGAGAUAAACCAUGCAGAACACAAUA
Rhincodon typus (whale shark) is the source of this 215-nucleotide small nucleolar RNA. RefSeq annotates it as small nucleolar RNA SNORA73 family. The transcript has a single exon. Lineage: Eukaryota; Metazoa; Chordata; Chondrichthyes; Orectolobiformes; Rhincodontidae. The record is from RefSeq and is a predicted model, not a curated record.